This 797-nucleotide long non-coding RNA is filed under the name Solanum tuberosum (potato). RNAcentral describes it as "long non-coding RNA (STUB_LNC010352)". The record is from RNAcentral. Lineage: Eukaryota; Viridiplantae; Streptophyta; Magnoliopsida; Solanales; Solanaceae.
UUAUCUGAUUUGUCAUCUGUUCAUUGCAAAUACUCGAGAAAAGUUUUUCUUUUUUGGGGACCUAAGAGCUUUUUUUACGCUUUUCUCUAUGAUAACACUGCAACCAGUAAGACGAGGUUGGGGGUUGAUUCUCUUUUAUACUUUUGAUCUGACAGUAAAUAUUCACUUUUUAGAUUGUGGCCAUGUAGAAAAAAUCUCUUACAAAGACGCAACAUUAAUAACUUUCAGAAGAGGAAGAGUAUAAGACAGUAGUUGUGUAGGUGGAAAGAUAGACUUUUUCUCUCUUCUUCCUUUUAACUUCCCUGUUGUCACCAAUCAAGGAAACCCACCCACCCCCAACAGCCUCUGCGGAAGGAGUAAGGAGUUGGUGGCAGAAAGAGAGAGAGCACAGCUUCGCUUCAAUUUACAUGUAUUACUCAAACCUUCCGUUGUGCAAUUCUCUGUUCAUAACUUCAUAUUCCUUCCCCAAUCCUCACCUAGUGCUCACUUCAAACAUCUUGACCUUGUCUAGAAGCUAUACUCACUACCUAUUUUGCUGCAAUUUGAUCCACUAAAAGCUACUUGAAUGAAAACACUCCGCAAGAGCGUAUAAGAUAAAUUUCCAACCAUUGUUGAGAGUGCCAUGGGAAGUCAUUAGUGAUGACACUGUACAAGUGUUGUACUAUUAUUUAUUUCCUCUAUAAGGUAAAGUGCUACUUUUCUUUUGAGCCGAGGGUCUAUCAAAAACAGGCUUCCUACCCCGUAAAGGUAGGGGGAAGGUCUGGUGAAGUGUUAGGCCUGGUGAAUAAAGAUUUUAA